CCUACGGGUGGCAGCAGUAGGGAAUAUUGCUCAAUGGGGGAAACCCUGAAGCAGCAACGCCGCGUGGAGGAUGAAGGUCUUCGGAUUGUUAACUCCUUUUUUUAGAGAAGAUAAUGACGGUAUCUAACGAAUAAGCACCGUCUAACUCCGUGCCAGCAGCCGCGGUAAUACGGCGGGUGCAAGCGUUACUCGGAAUCACUGGGCGUAAAGAGCGCGUAGGCGGGAUAGCAAGUCAGAUGUGAAAUCCUAUGGCUUAACCAUAGAACUGCAUUUGAAACUGUUAUUCUAGAGUAUGGGAGAGGUAUGUGGAAUUCUUGGUGUAGGGGUGAAAUGCGUAGAGAUCACGAAGAAUACUCAUUGCGAAGGCGGCCUGCUAGAACAUAACUGACGCUGAUGCGCGAAAGUGUGGGGAGCGAACAGGAUUAGAUACCCGAGUAGUC
This 440-nucleotide ribosomal RNA is filed under the name uncultured bacterium. RNAcentral's name for it is "partial 16S ribosomal RNA". It matches the Rfam family "Bacterial small subunit ribosomal RNA", at positions 338 to 795 of the family's 1533-position model. The record is from RNAcentral.